GACGAACGCUGGCGGCGUGCUUAACACAUGCAAGUCGAACGGAAAGGCCCUGCUUUUGUGGGGUGCUCGAGUGGCGAACGGGUGAGGAACACUUGAGUAACCUGCCCUUGACUUUGGGAUAACUUCAGGAAACUGGGGCUAAUACCGGAUAGGAGCGCCUGCUGCAUGGUGGGGGUUGGAAAGUUUCGGCGGUUGGGGAUGGACUCGCGGCUUAUCAGCUUGUUGGUGGGGUAGUGGCUUACCAAGGCUUUGACGGGUAGCCGGCCUGAGAGGGUGACCGGCAACAUUGGGACUGAGAUACGGCCCAGACUCCUACGGGAGGCAGCAGUGGGGAAGAUUGCACAAUGGGCGGAAGCCUGAUGCAGCAACGCCGCGUGCGGGAUGACGGCCUUCGGGUUGUAAACCGCUUUCGCCUGUGACGAAGCGUGAGUGACGGUAAUGGGUAAAGAAGCACCGGCUAACUACGUG
This 468-nucleotide ribosomal RNA is filed under the name uncultured bacterium. Its description in RNAcentral is "partial 16S ribosomal RNA". It matches the Rfam family "Bacterial small subunit ribosomal RNA", at positions 28 to 507 of the family's 1533-position model. The record is from RNAcentral.